UAAAGUUAUCUUGUAUGUAGCACCUAGAAGAUGGAUCCCAACAGGCGUCAAGGUGGAAUCCAGCAAUUGCUAGCAGCUGAGCAAGAAGCUCAACAGAUUGUGAAUGCUGCAAGAAAUGGUAAUGUUCUUUGGGGCUUAUUUCACCUUUGUGCAUGUGUUGUUCUAAAAGCAUAAUGUGAAGGGGGAAAAAAAGAAGAAAAGAAACAUCAUCAUUCACUGGCAAGUUGCAAGCAUGUAGCUUCUUUUAAUAAAUCUCUGUUGUGCAAUACAAGCUCUCGUUGCUUUGGUGACAUUAAUAUCUUUUUUUUUUUUUGGUUAAUAACUAAUGAAGCAUGAUAGUUGAAGCAUUUUUCACAGUGUUUUUUGUCUUCCCAUUCUCUAAACGAGAUGUGAAUGACUUUAUUUUUGGAUUGGUGCGAUGCAUUCGUUGUCAAUAAUUUUUCUAAUUUACUACCCAGUGAAUAUAUUACUAAUACAUAAGAAUAUUUUAGACAUCUUUACCAUAUUGGCGUUAUCAAAUGAAAAAGCAUAAUACCUGUUUAUUAUUCCUCUCUUUAGUUCUUCGUCAGUUCUUCCAUUUAGAUUUGAGUUAUUUUAAACCAUGUCAGGUGCUGGAGAAGUAAUCUUGCUUUUUGAGUGUCAACCUCUCUGCAUAGUGUUAGGAUAUUUUGAAGUGGUUUACACAUAUGCUUUAGUUAGGCAAUGUUUGGCUCUAUGUAAGACUAUCAAAAAGGGGGUAAAGUAUUUUUUUCAUGGAAAAGGAAAAUUAUGGCUUAUGAACAUGGUUAGGCCAUUUAUGCGUGAAAAUGUUUCUAACUACGGAUAAUUUAUCAAGAUACACAGCUAUCAUUGAUAUAAAUAAAUGUUACUAAACUAACAUAUUUUAAAUAAAUAUUUGGAAUGAAGGAGUCAUUCAAUAAUAAUAAUAUUAGGAUAUGACAUACAUAAUAAGCUUGUCUUUUAGUGACAUUUAUCAAAUGCUGCAUUAGGAUUUGGAAAUGCUGCCUGAAACUAUCAUCAUUUCUUUUCUAUCCUGGUAAUGGCGAUCAUUUAUUUGCCUUACCACAAUUCUGGUUAUAGGUAUGCACAUAUGCUACUAGUAAAAUGAUGCUAAAUCAUGAGAUUGUUUUAGUAAAUACUUUUGAGAGUUGUCAAUAUUAAUUGGACCUGUCAGUUUAAACUUGUAUGUUAAGUGCAUUUUAUGAUAUUUUGAGACUGAAAGAUUAAGCCAUUGGUGAUCCAUAUCUGAUCAAAUUGAAACUUGGAGAACAUGAAACGCAAGACAACACGAAACUUGGCUUUUAGAUACUUGAAAUGCUCUACAUCAUACUUAAUGGUAUGGAUCAUAUAUUCCGUAGUAUCAUUGUCAAUAAUGACUUAUAACGAGGUGCUUAUACUCAUAAAAUUAUGUAAAUUUAGCUUCCAAUUAGACAAUGAUGUAUACUCAAAAUAUAUAAACAGGGAUAUAAUGUUUAAUUUGAACAUCCAAACAUGUAUAUGCAUGUACGCAAAAAGAAAGCACUACAGUUGCUUGCAUCCAUUUAUUUAAUUGAAAAAUUGAUAAUGCAAUCUAUGGUGGUGCAAGCACAGCCAGGUAUCUUCAAUUUAUUCAGAGUAGAAAACUAGGCAUCUAUAAUGAAUCUCUUUCAAUUUGGAUUAUUGUUGUACAGAGAAGAUCAUUGAUGUUAAUUACAUAUGUAAAAAGCCUAGUAUAUUCAUAAACUAUUCAAACCUUUUCCACAUUUUGAACCUUCUUAAAAUGUUGUAUAUGAAAAGCCAGCAUCUAAGAUUGUGUCAAUAUAGUAUCCAAUAAAGACACCUAGCCCUUGUUUGGUUGGGGGUUAAGGGGUGGAAUAACCCUUUAACCCCCAUAUUAUCCCCAAACAUCCCAAAAAAUGGGUGGGGUUAGCUAACCCCACCUAACCCCACCUCAAAUAAAUUAUCCCGGGUUAGCUAACCCCACCUAACCCCACCAAACUCCAACCAAACACUAUUUUCUAUUCAUAAUAACCCACUAUCUUUCUUAUCCCACCUACUCCAACCAAUCAUUAUCCUUCUUUAUCAAUCAUUAUCUUCUUAUCCCACCUACUCCAACCAAACACUAUUUUUCAUUAUUCUAGACUAACUCCAACCCCCAACCGAACACAAAAAAACUUUAACCCCACUUUAACCCUGAACUUAACUCUAUCCCUAGAAUAGCUACUUUUUCCUUAACCCCGAACCAAACGGAGGCCUAGAGUAUCAAAUAGUUAAAGAUGG
RNAcentral lists this long non-coding RNA (2259 nucleotides) under Ananas comosus (pineapple). RNAcentral describes it as "long non-coding RNA (ACOM_LNC041978)". Lineage: Eukaryota; Viridiplantae; Streptophyta; Magnoliopsida; Poales; Bromeliaceae. The record is from RNAcentral.